Molecule: long non-coding RNA, 1622 nt
Organism: Xiphias gladius (swordfish)
Lineage: Eukaryota; Metazoa; Chordata; Actinopteri; Istiophoriformes; Xiphiidae
Exons: 4
Source: RefSeq, a predicted model, not a curated record
CGGCGCCGGGGGCAUUUUUCUGACGCUCCUCAGCAGCGGCAGGAGUGCCAGGUUCCUCUGUGGGGAAUAGAACCGACAACCUGCUGCCGCCUCCGAGCCUGACUCACAGGGGCACUCUGACCGUGUUUUAAUGAGAGAACCCUUCUGAAGACUCAUGUCAGGUUUCCGGGAAUAUUGAUUACUGAUUAGUGAUUGAUUCUCUUUCUAGUGGAGCAGCUGCUGAGUCAGUGGCACUGAGCUACAGCCCCUGUCCUCACUCUGUCAAUGGUCCCACAUGUGGACUGAAAGCGCAGGUUUCCUUUGAACAGUCUCGUCAACAAUAAUAAAGCCUGAGCUCAGAUCCUGCAGCUGAACUCUGCUGCAGGUCUCUGGUCUGGAUCCUUUGUGCUGAGAGUUAGGGCUUUUGAAUCUUCUUUUGUAACACUAGGACCACGCGGGGGCAGAGACCAGGCAGGUGAGCUGGGAGUCCAGGGCUGUGUGACGUGGUCUCCUUGAUCUGCAAAAGGGGGGAGGAACCGGUCUGAAGGGUUCUGAAGCCUGGUGGGGAAAAUGGCUGGUUGUUGUGGACUGGACAAAUGAACGCACCCACCCCUCAACGACACUCUGCCUUCUCCUUAGGAUGCAGAUCAGUCUUCAUCGUGGGGCAGCUGAGGAAGAACCUGCACGGGUUCAGGUGAACCUGUCAACUGCUAAACCAUGGGCAGAGGAGCCUGGUCUGGAGACCACCACACUCAGCCCUGGACCGCCAGCUCACCUCCUCCUUGGAGGGUCUGUGUGUGAUUGACAGCAGAGCUAUCCCCGCAUCCUUUGCAGCCUGGAAGAUGUUCCCCUCCACGUCGAUGCUGACGGCGCUCGUACACUCAUCCAACAGAGCGUACCGAGGGCUGGGCGAGAGACAUUCGCAACAUCAGGGAGAGAAAGACGAGAGACAGCAGUCCAGGAACCUGGUCGCUGAGGGGCCCCUCUGCUGUACCUGCUCUGCCUGUUGGACUAUGAUGGGAGCUCUGUGCUGUGUUCACAGCGCCUUCUAAAGGCGGUGCCAGAAUGUGGUCUACGAACAAGCAGUGAGCACCCAUGGACUUCUACAGUGCGCAUCGCUCUUCAUGUGCGUUCUUACUAUAGAAAUUAUGGACAAGUGGGUGCUGACUCCAAAGGAGUAUCCUGGCUCCUGUUGAUACAGACCCUUAUGUUUUUCACCGAGAACUGUAACCAACCAACCAACCAACCAGUCAAUAUGGUUUUUAAUAAGGAUUAAAAAAGAAUCCAAAUUCAUGGUCUAUUGAAACUUUCAAUCCAGUGUGCCUACUGACAUACAAAUAUACAGCACCGCAGCCGAGGGAGGCGUAGUCCCCUAGGCUCAUUUUCCAAAGUACUGAGUACACCUAUCACUCCCAAAUAGCUGGCUGAGUUGGGUUGUCACCAGCCUCAUUUCCUCGGCAGCGUGUCCACACAUAUUGAAGCUGAAGCAAAUGCAACCACAGGGGCGAUCUCCUCCUCUCUCCCUCAGUCCCUCUCUCUCUCUCUCUCUGUGUCUCAUCAAAAGCUGGUGCCAGUGGUGGUGCACUCUCUCUUAAAGGACAUGAUCACCAUUGUUCUACCUGGUUUAGACAUUAAAACGUUAU